This is a non-coding RNA of Pelobates cultripes (western spadefoot toad), 2217 nucleotides long. Lineage: Eukaryota; Metazoa; Chordata; Amphibia; Anura; Pelobatidae. The record is from the annotation of a GenBank genome assembly.
GCUGCAAGUCUUUAUAUCCUCCAGAGUCCUCUCUACUGGACAUUUCGUUCACAUGCAUCUCCUUUCAUUCUUUUGAGCUACUCUAUCAAUCCCUGUAAAGAGAACAUCCUGUGUUUUCCAUGUGCUAGGCUAGGAUGCUGGAAACUUGUUCUUCCUUUUCAUCAAAAAUGGACGGAAGCACAUUUUACCUCGGUUCCUAGUAGGAUAUAUUUUUGUUUAUUAGAAUGCAGAAAUUUAUGGUAUAUUACCCAGCUGUUGCAGAACUAUAACUCUUUGAAGCUUUGGAAACUGAAAAGUUGGAAAAUGAAAAGUUGGAAAAGCAUCACUGGAGUUGUAGGUCUACAGUAGAUGGGGAGCUCCUUUUUUGCAACUCCUGUUGGAAUAACAGCACAAAAGAGGUUAUGUCUUGUGAAAGUUAAGUGGUGAAAUUUAUUUUUUCCAUUUGACAAUUUUUAUUGAUUUCCAAGUUUUUUGGGGUACAGAAAUGAAAAGGGGACUCGUUAAUGUGGAACACGUGUUACAAUCGUCAAGUACAACCCACAUGUUACUUCUCGACACAUGGGGUUUUUAAUUAUACAUCAUACCAUAAAUUAUGUCAUUACUCGACUGUCCCUUCCCUGUCUCCUAGUCUACGCAUCUAGCCUGGCCUUGCCUUUGUACGGUACAACCUUGUCUAUCUGGAGCCCUCUGCAGUAGUGGGAGCUAGCAGCUACCCCAUCAUGUCUCCCCUCCCCGAAGUUGCUGUGUAUCUGUUCAUCUGUAUGCUUGUACUGUGAGCCUAGUAGCUAGGAUCAGGGUAGUAAUGUGGUCGUCAUGCUUCAGCCAUCACUGCUGUCCACCUGAUGUAUGCAUGUGUGUGUGCUACGGAGCUGACUUCUCAGGAGCAACAUCUUUUGUUGGUUUUUGUGCUAGAGCAUGCCUCAGGUGAGUGGUCCGCUGUGGCUUAGGUCCGGUCCCCUUGUACACAGAGCCCCCUGUGUCCCUAUCGACUCUGGUUUGGUACUAAGAUGUCAUAGUUAAAGAACCCAUAGAGAGAGUAGUAAGGAACAAGAAAAAUAGGGGAUAAUAGAACAAGGGGAAAAUAAAGCAAAGGUAAAGCCAGGUACGUGUGCGACUUGCCUACAACCCAGGCGUGUGUAGGUGGGGUAUGUACCCCCAUGCCUACUUGUCUGUAAGAUUAUAUAUAUGUUGCAUCAGCGCUGAUAGAUAUGUGGUAGAGAUGCAUGUGAGUCCGGAUUUCUAGAUAGUCUGGAUGUGGGUAGGGUAUUCAAUAUAUGGGGCGGUAAGAGUGCAGGUUUUCGUUGACACUGUAGUUAAGUGGCAGUUGUGUUACAACGUUGUAUCUUUCCCUUGCCUGGGAUCUGGGGGCCCUCGAUGCUCCACAGUCCUCAGGGAGGACUAUCAAUUCCCGGGUUUCCACAGCUCCCCUGCCAGUCUUGUGGCCACGUCCGACCUAAUUUGUGCUUUUAUAAUACAAAUACUGAGUUACAGCGAGUGAUUCCGAUAAAAACCAAAUACUAACAACACCAAUGUGGUAACCCCUCAAGCCACAUGAAAGUCAAAGCACAUACAUACAUACAGGUUAGGUGGAGUAUCUUGGUAUAUGGUGAAAUGGCAUAUAAUGCACAAUAAAAGCUGUAAAAACAAAGAGAACGAAAUCUAGUGCAAUAUUGUAGAACACAAAAGUGACUUGGAGUAUAAUUUGUAGUUGGUACUCACAAACCAAGAGCCAAAGGGAACUGGCUCAAUUCAGACGCCUGUGGGAUAGUUGUAAGGGUUCCCACUCCCUUUCUGUAUAGUAGCUGUUUCUAUAUUUCUUGUUGCAGCUGGGAAGAAGGGACCAUAUUCAUUCAGGUAGAGAAAAACUCUUCUUUAAUAAAAAUGCAUAAAAAUACAACUGUACUUAGAUAAAAAACAAAUAGAAAUUAAAAAAUAUGGAUAAAAGAGACACAAAGUCUUUAUAUAAAAUAGUCCAAAAAACUCCACUCUGUGAGAUCAAGCAAGACGCGUUUCGCCCAAAAAUUGUGCUUCCUCAGUUGCUCCUAGGGGUGUCCAAAUGCCACACAUUGUUUUAUACCUUCUUAUGAUGGGGGAAUACCUAACAUCUGUUCCGUCCUUCGUUUCUUCCGGGUUCCGUCGUCAUUUCCGGUUGACGGAUAUCCGGUUUCCAUUGCAUUCGGAGUACCAGCAUAUUUCAGGUUCCUUCGAGAAUGGAAC